Non-coding RNA from Pangasius djambal, 74 nucleotides. The record is from the annotation of a GenBank genome assembly. NCBI's taxonomy places the organism in Eukaryota, Metazoa, Chordata, Actinopteri, Siluriformes, Pangasiidae.
UCCCAUGUGGCCUAAUGGUUAGAGAGUCAGACUGGUGAACCUGAAGGUUGUGGGUUCGAGUCUCAGGUCCGGCA